GACGAACGCUGGCGGCGUGCUUAACACAUGCAAGUCGAACGGAAAGGCCCUGCUUUUGUGGGGUGCUCGAGUGGCGAACGGGUGAGUAACACGUGAGUAACCUGCCCUUGACUUUGGGAUAACUUCAGGAAACUGGGGCUAAUACCGGAUAGGAGCUCCUGCUGCAUGGUGGGGGUUGGAAAGUUUCGGCGGUUGGGGAUGGACUCGCGGCUUGUCAGCUUGUUGGUGGGGUAGUGGCUUACCAAGGCUUUGACGGGUAGCCGGCCUGAGAGGGUGACCGGCCACAUUGGGACGGGGCUACGGCCCAGACUCGUACGGGAGGCAGCAGUGGGGAAUAGUGCACGGUGGGCUGAAGCCUGAUGCAGCACCGCAGCGUGGGGUGUGACGGCCUUCGGGUUGUGAACCGCUUCCGCCUGUGACGAAGCGUGAGUGACGGUAAUGGGUAAAGAAGCAACGGCUAACUACGUG
RNAcentral lists this ribosomal RNA (468 nucleotides) under uncultured bacterium. Its description in RNAcentral is "partial 16S ribosomal RNA". It matches the Rfam family "Bacterial small subunit ribosomal RNA", at positions 28 to 507 of the family's 1533-position model. The record is from RNAcentral.